RNAcentral lists this long non-coding RNA (210 nucleotides) under Populus trichocarpa (black cottonwood). Its description in RNAcentral is "long non-coding RNA (PTRI_LNC003535)". The record is from RNAcentral. Lineage: Eukaryota; Viridiplantae; Streptophyta; Magnoliopsida; Malpighiales; Salicaceae.
UCCUUUACAUCCAAAGUCAAACACACAUGUUCUAGGGCAAAGCAAGCGGUCGAAGCAACCCAAACCAAACUUCUCACGUUACGUAAUUAAUAGAACAGAGAGUUUACUUAGCAGCAUUGAUGAGAUAUGGCAGAGAGCUAGCAAGAAAAGAUGUAACAUAGAACAUGGAACCUAAGAGAGGUACUCGCGUUUUGACAGCCAAGUACUUUG